This 67-nucleotide transfer RNA is filed under the name Schedorhinotermes lamanianus. Its description in RNAcentral is "tRNA-Cys". Lineage: Eukaryota; Metazoa; Arthropoda; Insecta; Blattodea; Rhinotermitidae. The record is from RNAcentral.
GGUCUUGUAUUCAUUUUGUGAUUACAGAAUGCAAUUCUGUAGGGGUAGUUAUUAUCUAUCAAGGCCU